This 1383-nucleotide ribosomal RNA is filed under the name Stenotrophomonas sp. S8. RNAcentral's name for it is "bacterial SSU rRNA". It matches the Rfam family "Bacterial small subunit ribosomal RNA", at positions 71 to 1434 of the family's 1533-position model. Lineage: Bacteria; Pseudomonadati; Pseudomonadota; Gammaproteobacteria; Lysobacterales; Lysobacteraceae. The record is from RNAcentral.
AGCUUGUCUUAUGGGUGGCGAGGUGGCGGACGGGUGAGGAAUACAUCCGGAAUCUACCUUUUCUUUGGGGGAUAACGUAGGGAAACUUACGCUUAUACCGCAUACGACCUUCCGGGUGAAAGCAGGGGACCUUCGGGCUUGCGCCGGAUAGAUGAGCCGAUGUUGGAUUAGCUAGUUGGCGGGGUAAAGGCCACCAAGGCGACGAUCCCGUAGCUUGUUUGAGAGGAUGAUCAGCCACACUGGAAUUGAGACACGGUCCAGAUUCCUACGGGAGGCAGCAGUGGGGAAUAUUGGACAAUGGGCGCAAGCCUGAUCCAGCCAUACCGCGUGGGUUAAGAAGCCUUCCGGGUUGUAAAGCCCUUUUGUUGGGAAGAAAAGCAGUCGAUUAAUACUCCGGUUGUUCUGACGGUACCCAGAGAAUAAGCACCGGCUAACUUCGUGCCAGCAGCCGCGGUAAUACGAAGGGUGCAAGCGUUACUCGGAAUUACUGGGCGUAGAGCGUGCGUAGGUGGUUGUUUAAGUCUGUUGUUAAAGCCCUGGGCUCAACCUUGGGAAUUUGCAUUGGAUACUGGGCCGACUAGAAUUUUGUUAGAGGUUAUUGGAAUUCCCCGUUUUGCCGUUAAAUUGCGUUAGAGAUCCGGGAGGAACUUCCUUGGCCGAAGGCAGCUUCCUUGGACCAACACUGACACUGAGGCACGAAAGCGUGGGGAGCAAACAGGAUUAGAUACCCUGGUAGUCCACGCCCUAAACGAUGCGAACUGGAUGUUGGGUGCAAUUUGGCACGCAGUAUCGAAGCUAACGCGUUAAGUUGCCGCUUGGGAGUACGUUCGCAAGACUGAAACUCAAAGGAAUUGACGGGGCCCGCACAAGCGGGUGGAGUAUGUGGUUUAAUUCGAUGCAACGGCGGAGAACAUUACCUGCUCUAGACAUGUCGAGAACUUUCCAGAGAUGGAUUGGUGCUUUGGGGAACUCGAACACAGGUGCUGCAUGGCUGUCGUCAGCUCGUGUCGUGAGAUGUUGGGUUAAGUCCCGCAACGGAGCGCAACCUUGUCCUUAGUUGCCAGCACGUAAUGGUGGGAACUCUAAGGAGACCGCCGGUGACAAACCGGAGGAAGGUGGGGAUGACGUCAAGUCAUCAUGCCCUUACGACCAGGGUACACACGUACUACAAUGGUAGGGACAGAGGGCUGCAAACCCGCGGAGGCAAGCCAAUCCCAGAAACCCUAUCUCAGUCCCGGAUUGGAGUCCUGCAACUCGACUCCAUGAAGUCGGAAUCGGCUAGUAAUCGCAAGAUCAGCAUUGCUGCGGUGAAUACGUUCCCGGGCUCUUGUACACACCGCCCGUCACACCAAUGGGAGUUUGUUCAACCUAGAAGCUAGGUAG